AUGAUUCAUGUGUGUGUGUGUGUGUGUGUGUGUGUGUGUGCAGCUUCCUCACAUGCCGCACAUCAGAGAGUGUCUGAUGAAGAGGAGUCUGAAGCCCACGGAUCUCAGAGACAUGACGCUGGGACAGCUGCAGGUGAUCGUCAACGACCUGCACUCUCAGAUCGAGGGUACGACACACACUCCUGUCUCUAUACUCGUGUGUGUGUGUGUGUGUGUGUUGUGCGGAGCUCAGAGACGUGUGUCUGUGUGAUGCUCAGGUCUGAACGAGGCGCUGGUGCAGCUGCUGCUGAUGAGGGACGAGCUUCACAUGGAGCAGGACGCCAUGCUGGUGGACAUCGAGGACCUGACCAGGCGCGCUCAGAGCCAGCAGAAGCACCUGACGGAGAAGACGCUCUCCAAAUGAAGCCGCACACCUCCACAGCAUCACCUUUCCUUUGCUUCUGUGCUCCGUCAGUCCUCCAGGACGUGCUGGACGCUGCCACCGGCUGCUGCAGCCAUCGCCUCAUAGACCGUCUCAGUCCUUUACGUUUGCCACUCAACUAGAACUGUCCGAACAUACAGCGGUGUGAGGAGCUCCACGCCUCCUCCAGCAAGCCCCGAGUCCACUGCUCGGACAGUAUUUAAACACAGCCGAGGGUCUGAAGGUGCUCCAGAGGAAACAUGCCUGCCUUGUAGUCGACUUGUAGCUUUUGGUAACGUUCACUGCGACCGGUACUCAACAUUUCGUGAAUGUUGAGUCUGACACGAGUCGUCUGAAUAAGUGUGUUCAUAUCAUUUUCAUUCUAUUGUAUCCAGAUUCUUUAUUUGAGGGAGAUGCUUAUGUACAGAUGUGUAUAAAAUAAGAAAAAUAAAACUUUGUUUCAUAGACCGCA
Long non-coding RNA from Cyprinus carpio (common carp), 872 nucleotides. NCBI's taxonomy places the organism in Eukaryota, Metazoa, Chordata, Actinopteri, Cypriniformes, Cyprinidae. The record is from Ensembl.